Molecule: ribosomal RNA, 252 nt
Filed under: uncultured bacterium
Lineage: Bacteria
Description: partial 16S ribosomal RNA
Rfam family: Bacterial small subunit ribosomal RNA
Source: RNAcentral
UACGGAGGAUGCGAGCGUUAUCCGGAUUUAUUGGGUUUAAAGGGUGCGUAGGCGGGUUAUCAAGUCAGCGGUAAAAUCGUGGAGCUCAACUCCAUCCAGCCGUUGAAACUGAUGAUCUUGAGUGGGCGAGAAGUAUGCGGAAUGCGUGGUGUAGCGGUGAAAUGCAUAGAUAUCACGCAGAACUCCGAUUGCGAAGGCAGCGUACCGGCGCCCGACUGACGCUGAAGCACGAAAGCGUGGGUAUCGAACAGG